RNAcentral lists this transfer RNA (76 nucleotides) under Elusimicrobiota bacterium. Its description in RNAcentral is "Elusimicrobia bacterium (groundwater metagenome) tRNA-His". It matches the Rfam family "tRNA". From Rfam's summary of the family: Transfer RNA (tRNA) molecules are approximately 80 nucleotides in length. Their secondary structure includes four short double-helical elements and three loops (D, anti-codon, and T loops). The record is from RNAcentral. Lineage: Bacteria; Pseudomonadati; Elusimicrobiota.
GUGGCUAUAGCUCAAUGGUUAGAGCGCCUGGCUGUGGCCCAGGAGGCUGCGGGUUCGAGUCCCGUUAGCCACCCCA